GUAAAUAGUUAGAAACACUCAGUGAAACCUAAACCGAAAGUCGCCCCAACAAUUUUAAAAUAAAAUCGCCUGGUGCUAGGUUAGAAAAAGUGCGCACUCUGGAAAAAUACAGCCAAACGUGUUGGCAAACGGACAGUUUGAUGAUCAAAAUAGGAAAGAACAAUCUCAAACUCAUUAAUAAUUCAUCAGUAAAUUAUCCAAUCA
Paramuricea clavata is the source of this 204-nucleotide non-coding RNA. The record is from the annotation of a GenBank genome assembly. Lineage: Eukaryota; Metazoa; Cnidaria; Anthozoa; Malacalcyonacea; Plexauridae.